CUCCUGCUCGUCCCCACGAUUCGGCUCAGAAAACAGCGUACAGAGCCGGCAGAUCAGAUAAUAUAAUACGAGUACAACCGUCCCGGCCACCAGCCGGAUCGGGACGAGAGUGAGGAAAGCAAACACGAGGAGCGCCCGUUCCGUGAGCGGCAGAUCGCCGCGGCCCAUCGUGCCGUACGAAUCCCGCCGCACGUAAGCCGCGUACAGCCUCUCCAUCUCCUCGAUGGACUCAGCGGAGGGACGGG
RNAcentral lists this unclassified non-coding RNA (245 nucleotides) under Hevea brasiliensis (rubber tree). The record is from RNAcentral. Lineage: Eukaryota; Viridiplantae; Streptophyta; Magnoliopsida; Malpighiales; Euphorbiaceae.